Molecule: ribosomal RNA, 316 nt
Filed under: uncultured bacterium
Lineage: Bacteria
Description: bacterial SSU rRNA
Rfam family: Bacterial small subunit ribosomal RNA
Source: RNAcentral
GAUGAACGCUAGCGGCAGGCUUAACACAUGCAAGUCGAGGGGCAGCAUAAUGAAACAGCAAUGUGGAUUUGAUGGCGACCGGCGCACGGGUGCGUAACGCGUAUGCAACCUACCCAUAACAGGGGGAUAACACUGAGAAAUUGGUACUAAUACCCCAUAAUAGUUUAGAAGGCAUCUUCUAGAUUUGAAAGUUCAGGCGGUUAUGGAUGGGCAUGCGUUGUAUUAGCUAGAUGGUGAGGUAACGGCUCACCAUGGCUACGAUACAUAGGGGGACUGAGAGGUUAACCCCCCACACUGGUACUGAGACACGGACCAG